UCCAAAAUUUCCUAUUUGUUUCCUCUGAUGU
RNAcentral lists this non-coding RNA (31 nucleotides) under Mus musculus (house mouse). The record is from RNAcentral. Lineage: Eukaryota; Metazoa; Chordata; Mammalia; Rodentia; Muridae.